Molecule: long non-coding RNA, 303 nt
Filed under: Salvia miltiorrhiza (redroot sage)
Lineage: Eukaryota; Viridiplantae; Streptophyta; Magnoliopsida; Lamiales; Lamiaceae
Description: long non-coding RNA (SMIL_LNC000396)
Source: RNAcentral
CUCUCUCUCUCUCUUCUCUCUCUACACGCUCUCUCUCUCUCUCUCAUUCCUCCCCCCACCACCAGCGCUCUCGCUCUCUCUCUCUGCCUCAAUCAAAAUCUGAUCGUACUUCACAAUCGGCCAGAACUCAUCUUCACCGCCGCCGUCAUCUCCCUCCCCACCGGAGCCGCCGCCUCCUAGAGGAAACCGCCCAUUCCCACCAUCUCCAUCGCCACUGUCGUCUAGUUUCGUUUACUCAAAAUCCUCUGGCAGACUAACCUUCUCCGUCGCGGCGUCCGGCGCGGCGUAUUGUAUCUGGAACGG